AUGAAAGAUGCUUUUCUGGCCUCCUCUCUUCGGCAGCGCGCUGGUGGCUGUAAUAACAAGACAGGAUUCCUGAUGCCUCCAUCAGGGAACAGCAGGCACAAAACACCCGGUCACACAGAGAGCAGAGGAUUGCAGAUGGACCGCGGUCUGUCGCAGUGUAGUGGUGCUGGGUCCUGCUGUCUAGGAAGCCACUGCGAUCGGUGUUCACUGCAGACCGGGGUGACGUGGGGACGCGCUCGGGGCCGUGUGGCUCCUCACAGCUCCGCCGUCAGCUCGUCCUCUUUCAGACUGCCUGAGACAGUGUCUGCUAGGCUCCGGUGUUCCUUUCCCUGCUGCAUCGUACUCCUACAGGCCCCCCUCCACCAUUAAAAGCAUGUGACAAGUUAUAAUAAGAGGUAAUAAGGUUUGACAUUUAGUUAAUUAUUAAAAAUGUUUGGUGGGCAUUAAUUUGCAUUCAUUUAAAAUACUAAAUGUGAAAAUGUGCCUUAGCUUUAGGGACUGUCAAACUACCAAUUACCACAUGCACGCCCUAACCCUAAUGCACCCUAACCCUAACCCUAAUGAACCCUAACCCUAACCCUACCUCCCUUGCCCAGACAUCUCCCCCUUGCCUGUAAUGCUGCCCAAGGGACAGGGACACUGCUGGCCAGCUGAGGAACCUCUUAUAAACACUGAGAGCUUGAAGCACCUUCCCAGUGUUGGAACCACAUCUGACGUCUGUCCAGACAAGGGAUUCGAGCUCCUGUGUAUCGAGACACGGAUUUGAAUUCAUCUGGGAGAGGAAUCCAAGAAUUCAAGAUGAUUCAAGGCAGCCCUGCAGUCCGCCUCUAAUACAUAGUUGUAUUUGCUUAACCUCUGCUUGAAAGGGGGUGCUGCUUAUUUAGGGGAGGAGAAAGUCUGAAUCUGGUUUGAAUGUUCGCAGCUGCAAAUAAUCAGGCUCACAUGUGGCACGUUAGAAACCGCCUUUGCUUUCACAGACAUUGCUGUUGGAGGCUGCUGAGCCAUGUUGGACGAUGCUGGACUAUUCCUGUUGACCUGUGCAGCUGCCCAUCAAGGUGCAGAGAUGGUCAGGUGUCAGAGUGAUUGCCCUUUGACCUCUGACCUGAAGGUGCACAUGACCUACAGGAAAGUCACGCAGGUGCCUCGUUUCCUUCUGCCAGCGGAGGAAGAAGGUAGAAAGCGGACUGGAGCAGAGCUGCUCUUCCCCAGGCCUGGCUCACAGUGUCGCUGGUGAAUGCUGACUUGUAUCAAACACUUUUUCAAAUGAACACACUGUGUUUGUUGUUUUAGCUCACAAAUUUCCGAUCACAUACUUAACGUUUCUUGAAGGCUUGGUAGGUUGGACGUAGACUAUGACACGGUGCCCUGCAAAUCUAAGCACAGAAAGGCAGGAAGGCAGGAAGACAGGGAGUUGCAAUUCUGACUUUUCAUCGGGUCCCGGCUGCUCUCCUAUACUAUCAGACCGAUAAAUCUCUUGAUUGCCAUGCCAGCAUGAGCCCCAAGACACACAAUACAACUGUUUGCUCGGGAACCUCCCGAUUAAAGCAGCCCCUUCCCAACUUCACUGAUUUGUAUUUCCAUCAGAUGUGUUUUGCCAGAGAUGUAAUUUCAGUCACUUAAGGAUCAUUAAAAAGAGAUCAUAUUAAAUAUCGCUUCUGGAGCGGGAGAGAUAGAGAGCAAGGGAGGAAGAAAGGGGAGACUUGUUUUGUCAGCCAGUUCUGAGCGACUCUGUCCCCUCGCCUCCUGAGGGAGGGAGGGAGGACCAGCGACCAGGCUGGGUCAGUUUUCUGUAAAUCUGCCGAUGAAAUGUUGACAAAACAGCCAAUUUUCUGUAAUUUGGCUGUGGCCCUCUGUCAGCACCCCCGUCACUCAGAGCCCCUUCAUUUCAGAUAACACCAGCAGCUGACCUUUGACCUUUAUCUCAUCCCUGACUCCUCCAGCCCUGCAGAGACGUACAACAGCCCUGCCUUUCAGGUCAGGUGAGCGCAGGCCCCAGCUCCAUGAAGGAGGCCUUUGUUUCCCAGCUGGCUUUCCAGGGCUCUGCUAGAAAGGCUAAGAAAUGCAGUUAAUAGCUCAGGAGUGGCCUAAUCAUCAGCUGCCAUUACUGCUCCAAUAUCUGCGGGGAUGACAGACUUAUCAAUAACAGAGCCCCACGUGAGGCCGGCGCUGAGCCUUCAUCUGGAGCUGUGCUCCGCUGAGCAGAGGGCUGUCUCUCGGGCCCGCGCCAGGCAGCACACCUCUCCUCCUCUUCAUGUGCUGCCAGGAAUCAGUCACCGGGCCCGGCCCUCGUUAGGCCUUCUGAAGCUCCGGACAUUAUUUCAGCAAUUUGGUUUAAUUUAUUGAGUAAAUGUGAUGAGAUCAUUGAAAAAGAAGGGCUCUUUUCUGUUUGCAAUGAGAUGACAGCGCUUCUCGGAAAAUAAUUUCUCUUCCCUAAACCCUUAAUGAAGUGCAGACCAGGCUGCCUGUGCAGAUUGCUCCGGACUUGACUUAAUUAUACUCCUCUUUAUGAUUUUAAUUUUCAAGACAGAUUCAGUUUUUUCUUCUUAAAUAAAGGCCAUUUAUUAAAGUCCAUUUUCUUUUUAAACUCUACAAAACUCUAGUUUCUUCAUGAUCACGGGGGGCAGACGGAGCGGACGGGGCAGUGUUUAUUUGUGAACUGCCCCGCUCGGCUACUGCAGCUCAUUGUCGUUACCACAGUAUUGGUCUGUAGCCUGGCUCGAAGUCUACUCAUUGAACAGCUUGAAGAAUCAGAUCUGCUCCUGAAACACUGAGCUGGAAGGUUCCUUUGACUGGAUUGCUGUGACAGCAGCACAUCCUCUGGAAAUGGCUGAUUCCUUUCCAAGCGUGUUUCUUUAACUCUCUCAGCCUGAAACGGCCCUUAAUGUAAAACAAUAAAGUAUUUAUAAGCCUUCAUGACAGUCAGAAUAUUGUUGUUUCAGUGUCGGCUGCCAGGGAUAAUAAUGUCUGUGAUUGAAAUGUGUUUUUGUUGUGGGGAUGACAAAGGCACGUUCUCCUUUUUAAGGCUCGCUGAGGGCACAGCACUUAAAAAAGCGACCGAGUUCGUCCCUCUGUCCUCUUCUUCUCCGCGCUGAUCGCGUUUACCCAGGGGUGCAGGACGGAAUGAGCCCCAGCCCAGGGUCUUCUUCCAGCGGCAGCCAGCGUUAAUCGCAUUACCAAAACAUUAGGCAGCUUGGGUUUCAGACUGGCCAGGCAUACUGGAGGAUGGGGAGGCCCGGAUUCAGGUGGAAUGGUGCCACAUACCACAGGCACUCAGAUUGAUGCAGUGCUGGAUGGAGGGGGAGGCUGCUUGGACAGGAUCAGCUGCUCCCUUUCCGCACAGCAGAGCUGUUGAAACUGCGGUCGGGGCUUGUGGGAAGGAACAUGAGAGCAGGGCUGCACGGAGGGGCUGUUUCUCUCCUGCCAAGUCGUCUGAGCGGCUGUGAUGCUGGAACGCACGGACGCAUUCCGCUGCUGCCCUGGAAAGUUGGGGGGCACAGAGCAGAGUGGGGUGUGUGUGCGGAGCAGGGCCACGCCCCUCCGCUUGUGCCAUCGGUACCAUCGACCAAACCUGUUGGCCUCUCUGCUACUGCCUUCUUCCCUGUUUACUGUUUGGAUGCUGCACACUGGUGGGGGUGGAGGGGAUCCCCAUUACCUGUAAAGCGCUUUGAGUGGAGUGUCCAGAAAAGUUAUAUAAAAAAAGCUAUAUAAGUGUAAGCAAUUAUUAUUCAUUAUUAUUACUCCCAUCCUCUCCCAUCUGUGUCCAUCUGUGUCCAUCUGUGUCCACGCUUCUUGCUCUUGCUCUUUCCCUUGUUUUCGGAAGAGGAACUGAAGGCGAUUCCCAAACCUGUGGGCUUUUCCCUGUCAGUGGGUGAGAGGGAGGGCAUGGAGAGAACGUGGGCAGAUGACCAGGGCAGAGCCCGGGCAACCCGCGCUGCUCUGGCCGCCCGGGCAAAGCGAGCUUCCGCUGGGGAACUGACACGUGC
Lepisosteus oculatus (spotted gar) is the source of this 3983-nucleotide long non-coding RNA. The record is from Ensembl. Lineage: Eukaryota; Metazoa; Chordata; Actinopteri; Semionotiformes; Lepisosteidae.